CAGCAGCAGCAGCAGCGGGAGAGAAAGCGAAGACGACCCUUAGUGAGAGAAAGAGAGGAGGAAGGAGCGACUGUACGAGUCCAUGUGAGAGCAGAAGUGAAGGUAAAGAAGAGGUCAGCAGGCCACUUGAAGUUCCAGGACUUGUCAAGGGUGCUUCAAGGUCUGCUCAAACCCAGGAAUUGAACCUGCCAUCUUUAAAUCUCCCAAAUCAGAACAGUUCAGAUCCGGGACGAGCCUGCACCAUGGAGAAACAACAUCAGCAAAGGUGAGCAUGCUGGGGACUCGUGCAGGGACCUGGAUGGACCCCGCUGCCUCUGCUGUGGGAGCCUCCAGAUGUGUGCCACCCGAGAUGACAAUAAGAGGGGACCCUGCACGGUUUGGAUGUUUUCACCGAGGAGCGCAGUGAGCCAGACGCAGACACCGACAGACCGACCUUCCUCCUCCCGUGUCCUCCCUCUCUGCCUCAUCCGGAAGAAGACAGGACUCUGAGAAUAUAAUCCAGCAGCACUGAAGCGACAGCAGCUCCUGGACCUGAGUGUGUUUUAACACUGAUGACUGCAGGACCAGAAAUGAGAGGAAAGAGAAAGGAGAGUGAAGCAGCCGAUGGAGCAGAGAGGGACAAUAAAGGCUGGGCGGGAUGAGGAGCGGAGAGGCUCGGGAUUAACCGACACCUUUUUUCCAGCAGCAACACCCGAAACUCCUGAAAGUCAGGCCCGUCGGAGUGGGACACACCCGCCCUCUCCCUGUCCUCUGAGCCAGAAAGAGACGUCUAAUCCCAAACGGAGAAGGAUGAAAAAAGGGACGAUGUGACAGCAGCUACCAUGGACAGCAACAACACACACACCAACAUACACACACAGACGCAGCUGCCAUGACGUCGUGGACGUCGUGGGAUAAACAGAGCUGAAGCUGUUUGGGCUGCGAGGACACGACCGAGGCGUGACCGUGGAUUCUCAAAAUGUCCGAAAUGAGUGUGUGCAUUUAAUGUUGAAGUUUUUCACACACUGUGAGACCCAUAAAAAAUACUAUCAAUUAAACUGCUUUGUAGCAUAACACUUAAAUGCUGUGAGAGUGUGUGUGAGUGUGUGUGUGCUGGUUUUAGUGUGAAAGUCUUUGCAAAUGUUUGUGCGUAAAAAUGAGCUCCAAAUCUGAAGUUGCACAUUUUUAAAUGUGUAAUUUUAUGUGCAAUGAUGCCAGAAUGUGGAACAAACAUUUUAUGGUAUGUGUGUGAAGAUUAUUUUGACAUUGUGUGAUAUAUUUAUUUCUGCAUAUUUUAACUAUAACUGUAAACAUCUGCUUGGAUGUUCAGUAAAUUUCCCCUUCUUUGAAUUUGUUACACAACUUGCUGCUCCUUGCUCCCUCUCGGUGUCACGUUGGCUUCGA
This is a long non-coding RNA of Notolabrus celidotus (New Zealand spotty), 1383 nucleotides long. RefSeq lists it as uncharacterized. NCBI's taxonomy places the organism in Eukaryota, Metazoa, Chordata, Actinopteri, Labriformes, Labridae. The record is from RefSeq and is a predicted model, not a curated record. The transcript has 9 exons.